ACCCAGAGGAAGAGAAAGAAAAAUCGAUUCCCUCAGUAGCGGCGAGCGAAGCGGGAAGAGCCCAAACCAACUCUUUGGAGUUGGGGUUGUAGGACUCUCAGAAUUGAUGGAUGCUUAGUCGAAUGGUCUGGGAAGGCCAAUCAUAGAAGGUAAGAAUCCUGUAGACGAAAAGCAGAAAGAGAGGAGAGUAUCCUGAGUACCACGAGGCACGUGAAAUCUAGUGGGAAGCAGGGGGGCCCACCCCCCAAGGCUAAAUACUCCUUAGUGACCGAUAGAGAACAAGUACCGUGAGGGAAAGGUGAAAAGAACCCCGGGAGGGGAGUGAAAAGAACCUGAAACCGGAUGCUUACAAGCUGUCACAGCACAAUAGUAGUGUAGUGGCGUACUUUUUGUAGAACGGACCUGCGAGUUGCGUUAUGAAGCGAGGUUAAGGUGAGAAGCCGGAGCCGAAGCGAAAGCGAGUCUGAAGAGGGCGAAAGUUUUAUGACGCAGACCCGAAACCGGGUGAUCUACCCAUGAGCAGGAUGAAGCGUUAGUAAAAUAACGUGGAGGUCCGAACCAGGCAUCGUUGAAAAGAUGUUGGAUGACUUGUGGGUAGGGGUGAAAUUCCAAUCGAACUCGGAGAUAGCUGGUUCUCCUCGAAAUAGCUUUAGGGCUAGCCUUAAUUAGAUAACUUAUGGAGGUAGAGCACUGAAUGGACUAGGGGGCUUCACCGCCUACCGAAUCUUAUCAAACUGCGAAUGCCAUAAGUAAUAGAUUAGGAGUCAGACUGUGGGGGAUAAGCUUCAUGGUCAAAAGGGAAACAGCCCAGACCGCCAGUUAAGGUCCCAAAAUAAUGAUUAAGUGGAAAACGAUGUGAAAUCGCUCAGACAACCAGGAUGUUGGCUCAGAAGCAGCCAUCAUUUAAAGAGUGCGUAAUAGCUCACUGGUCCAGGGGUUUUGCGCGGAAAAUGUAACGGGGCUCAAAUCAUUUACCGAAGCUGCGGAAUGUGUGAGAGCACAUUGGUAGAGGAGCGUUCUUAACACGGAGAAGGCAUACCGGAAGGAGUGCUGGAGAGUUAAGAAGUGAGAAUGCAGGUAUAAGUAUGCGAAAAGGCAGGUGAGAAUCCUGCCCGCCGAAAAUCUAAGGAUUCCUGGGGAAGGCUCGUCCGCCCAGGGUAAGUCGGGACCUAAGGCGAGGCCGAAAGGCGUAGUUGAUGGAAAACUGGUAGAUAUUCCAGUACCACCUGAUAUUGCAUGAGAGAAGUAGUGACGCAGAAGGAUAGGCAGAGCGCCCAGUUGGUGAGGCGUUUAAGUAAGUAGGGUAUCAGAUAGGGAAAGCCGUCUGAUGUAGAGCCUGAGAUACGAAUACGAGGGAAAAAUAGUACCGAAGUCGCUGAUUCCCGGCUGCCAAGAAAAGCUGCUAUCGAGAUAGAGGGUGCCCGUACCGCAAACCGACACAGGUAGAUGGGGUGAGAAACCUAAGGCGCGCGAGAAAACUCUUGUUAAGGAACUCGGCAAAAUGAACCCGUAACUUCGGGAGAAGGGUUGCUUAUCAUGGUGAAGGUCAGACGACUGGAGCUGAGAUAAGUCGCAGAGAAAAGGUCCAGGCGACUGUUUAGCAAAAACACAGGUCAUUGCAAAAGUGAAAGCUGAAGUAUAAUGGCUGACGCCUGCCCGGUGCUGGAAGGUUAAGGGGAAGAGUGAGAGCUUUGAACCGAAGCCCCAGUAAACGGCGGCCGUAACUAUAACGGUCCUAAGGUAGCGAAAUUCCUUGUCGGGUAAGUUCCGACCCGCACGAAAGGCGUAACGAUCUGGACGCUGUCUCAACAAGGGACUCGGCGAAAUUGAAAUACCGGUAAAGAUGCCGGUUACCUGCGAUAGGACAGAAAGACCCCAUGGAGCUUUACUGUAGCCUGAUAUUGGGUUUUGGAUAUUAAUGUACAGGAUAGGUAGGAGACAGGGAAUCAUGGACGCCAGUCUGUGAGGAGUCGAUGUUGGGAUACUACUCUUUAAUAUCUGAAAUUCUAACAAGGUACUCUGAAGCGAGUAUUUGGACAGUGUCAGGUGGGCAGUUUGACUGGGGCGGUCGCCUCCUAAAAGGUAACGGAGGCGCUCAAAGGUUCCCUCAGUGCGGAUGGAAAUCGCACGAAGAGUGUAAAGGCAGAAGGGAGCUUGAUUGCGAGACCAACAAGUCGAGCAAGUAGGAAACUAGGACUUAGUGAUCCGGCGGUUGCGAGUGGAAGUGCCGUCGCUCAACGGAUAAAAGCUACCCUGGGGAUAACAGGCUUAUCUCCCCCAAGAGUCCACAUCGACGGGGAGGUUUGGCACCUCGAUGUCGGCUCA
RNAcentral lists this ribosomal RNA (2325 nucleotides) under human gut metagenome. Its description in RNAcentral is "bacterial LSU rRNA". It matches the Rfam family "Bacterial large subunit ribosomal RNA", at positions 208 to 2539 of the family's 2925-position model. The record is from RNAcentral.